This 254-nucleotide ribosomal RNA is filed under the name uncultured bacterium. RNAcentral describes it as "partial 16S ribosomal RNA". It matches the Rfam family "Bacterial small subunit ribosomal RNA", at positions 1247 to 1500 of the family's 1533-position model. The record is from RNAcentral.
AUGCUACCGGGCGACCGGAUGCGGAUCUCGAAAGCCUGUCCCAGUUCGGACUGGAGUCUGCAACCCGACUCCACGAAGUUGGAUUCGCUAGUAAUCGCGCAUCAGCCAUGGCGCGGUGAAUACGUUCCCGGGCCUUGUACACACCGCCCGUCACACCAUGGGAGUUGGGAGCACCCGAAGCCGGUGAGUUGACCGAAAGGGGACAGCCGUCGAAGGUGAGACCGAUGACUGGGGUGAAGUCGUAACAAGGUAUC